This 497-nucleotide ribosomal RNA is filed under the name uncultured bacterium. RNAcentral's name for it is "partial 16S ribosomal RNA". It matches the Rfam family "Bacterial small subunit ribosomal RNA", at positions 28 to 507 of the family's 1533-position model. The record is from RNAcentral.
GACGAACGCUGGCGGCGUGCCUAACACAUGCAAGUCGAGCGAUCAAACGCGGACCUUGCUCCUCUGACGUUAUGAGUGGACGGGUGAGUAAUACCUGGAUAACCUACCUCUCAGUCCUGGUUAACAUCGGGAUACCAGUGCUAAUACCGCAUAAUAUUUUGAACCGCACGGUUCAAUAGUCAAGGACGGUUUUGCUGUCUCUUAUAGAUGGAUCCGCGCCCCAUUAGCUAGUUGGUGGGGUAAUGGCCUACCAAGGCAACGAUGAGUAGCCGACCUGAGAGGGGGAUCGACCGUACUGGAGCUGAGACACGGCCCAGACGCCUACGGGAGGCGGCAGCAGGGAGUCUUCCGGAAUGGUCGAAGGACUGACGGAGCAGCGCCGCGUGAGUGAUGAAGGACUUCGGAUCGUAGAAAUCUGUUAUCAGGAAAGAACAAAUGUGUAAGUAAGUGUGCACGGCUUGACGGUACCUAGUCAGAAAGCCACGGCUAACUACGUG